This 197-nucleotide ribosomal RNA is filed under the name uncultured bacterium. Its description in RNAcentral is "partial 16S ribosomal RNA". It matches the Rfam family "Bacterial small subunit ribosomal RNA", at positions 1304 to 1500 of the family's 1533-position model. The record is from RNAcentral.
GCUGCAACUCGCCUGCACGAAGUCGGAAUUGCUAGUAAUCGUAGGUCAGCAUACUACGGUGAAUACGUUCCCGGGCCUUGUACACACCGCCCGUCAAACCAUGAGAGUUGGCAACACCCGAAGUCGGUAGUCUAACCGCAAGGAGGACGCCGCCGAAGGUGGGGUUGAUGAUUAGGGUUAAGUCGUAACAAGGUACC